Molecule: long non-coding RNA, 2437 nt
Filed under: Sus scrofa (pig)
Lineage: Eukaryota; Metazoa; Chordata; Mammalia; Artiodactyla; Suidae
Description: lncRNA (ENSSSCG00065007772.1)
Source: RNAcentral
GAAUGUAUAUCAUGUCAUGCUUGAUGGUCCUAACAAAAAUAGUUAUGGAGAGGUGGAUUUUUAAAAAAUCAAGAAUAUGAACCCAAACUGCGCAGAGACUCAGGCCUGGGUUAAUCCUAGCAGUUCCACCUCUAAGCUCUUAAGCCAGAUCCUUAAAUGUCUUCAUCCCUAAUUUCCUUCCACCAAAUACGAAUAGUAAUAAUUCUCCAAAAGGUUGAUAUGCAGAUCAAGGGAGCUAAAACUUGCAAAGGGCCAGUGAAGGUAAACUAGCACAGAGCAUUCAGUCAAUGGUGGUUCCUAUUAUUCAUUAAGAAAAAACUUUUUCCAAAAAUAGUUCAGAAUAAGCAUUUAUUUUUCUAUGUUGUUUUCAGGGAAGCUUUGUCUGUCAUGAAUCAAAUGCCACUAAAUUAAGGAAGUCAGACUCUCCCAUGCCUAGGCUGCAAAACAGCCCUUACAAUUUCAGAUAUUUAGGAUUAAAUGUGAACUUUAUUAUUUUGAUUUUUUUUUUUGUCUCUUUAGGGCCACAUCCGUGGCAUAUGGAUGUUCCCAGGCUCGGAGUCAAAUUGGAGCUCUAGCUGCCAGCCUACACCGCAGCCACAGCAACACGGGAUCUGAGCCACAUCUGUGACCUACUCCACAGUUCACGGCAACACCAGAUCCUUAACCCACGGAGCGGAGCCAGGGAUCAAACCCGAGUCCUCAUGGGUACUAAUCAGGUUCCUUAGCACUGAGCCCUGACGGAAACUCAGAGAACACAAACUUUAGCAUCAGGCAGACUUAGGGAAAUAAACUUUUCGUCCUGUGUGACUUCCUGUGCCUCAGAUAUGAAUUAAACCAAGCAAACUGUAAAGUUGUAGUCUUACUUUUGACUUUACUUUCUAUGAUACGGAUUUGGAGUGAAGAAAGAAUGGUAAAUGAUAAAGAAAAAAAGAAUGCUUCUUCUAUUUGGUAUACAAAAAAGCAACCUAUAAAUUCAUCUAACAUCAAAAAAUUGAGAAAUAAAGAAAAUCAAAAGUCAGAGUUCCCUUUGUGGCCCAACAGUUAACGAACCCGACUAGUAUCCAUGAAGAUGUAGGUUCGAUCCCUGGCCUCGAUAGGUCUGGGAUCUGGCGUUGCCAUGAGCUGUGGUGUAGGUCACAGACGUGGCUCGGGUCCCGAGUUGCUGUGGCUGUGGCGUGGGCCAGUGGCUGUAGCUCUAAUUCGACCCCUAGCUUGGGAACCUCCGUAUGGUGCAGGUGCAGCCGUAAAAUAGCAAAAAAAGAAAACCAAAAAAACUCAGACACCAAUGCUGCGAAUGUAAACUGGUAAAGGAGUUCCCGUCGGGACGCAGCAGAAACGAAUCCAACUAAGAUUCGGGUUUGAUCCCUGGCCUCGCUCAGUGGGUUAAGGAUCUGGCGUUGCCAUGAGCUAUGUAGGUCACAGACGUGGCUCAGAACAGGCAUUGCUAUGGCUGUGGUGUAGGCCAGCAGCUGUAGCUCUGAUUCGACCCCUAGCCUGGAAACCUCCAUAUGCCGAGGCUGCGGCCCUAAAAAAGACAAAAGACAAAAGAAAGUAAAAUAAAAUAAAUUGGUAGAAACUUUGUGGAGACAAAAAUCCAGCAGUUUUGCUUCUGAAUGGUCUGUCCUACAGAAACAGUGGCACAUGGGCUCAGAUAUACAUGUGUAAAAUAUUCACUUGCAAGUUGUGUCUAAGUAUCAAAAGUGGGAAGUAACUCAGGUAUCAGUCAGCAUAGGAAUAAUCAAAUUGUGGUUCAACAUUUCUAGAGAAUAUUAUAUAACCAUUAUAAAGAACAAGGUAGAUGUCUAGGUAAUGACAAAUACAGGAUCUCUAAAACACAAAAUUAGAGAAAAUGAUAAAUCACAAGUUAAUACACACAUUACGUUUGUGUUUACCUAAAUGUAAAACCUAUAUAAUGUGUGUUCAUGUGUGGACCCAUGUUAUUUAUUCACGUUUUUACAUAUCACUGUAUGGAAAUUUUUACGUAUCACUGUAUGCAAAUUUGAUUGGAAGUUUAAUCUAAAUACCAAAAGCAGCUACCUCUGCAUGUGGGAGAGGAAUGGAGAGAGGGUAAGGAAAGAUAAUUCAUGUAUUGCCUGGGUAAUUUUUUAAAUAUUUUUUUAAUGAAAAGCUAAAGCAUUCAGAACUGAACUUCUCUGGGGUUAAGAAAUCGACCAGUUCAAUAAAUAAAUAAGGAUUUCCCGUUGUGGCUCAGCAGUUACUGAAUCUGUCAGGCAUCCAUGGGGUUGCAGGUUCAAAACCUGGCUUCGCUCAGUGAGUUAAGGAUCUGGCAUUGCCAUGAGCUGUGGUGUAGGUCACAGAUGCGGCUUGGAUCACGAGUUGCUGUGGCUGUGAGCCUGGUGUAGGCCAGCAGCUGCAGCUCCACUUUGACCCCCUAGCCUGGGAACCUCCAUAUGCCGCAGGUACAGCCCUAAAAAGC